CCUACGGGGGCAGCAGUGGGGAAUAUUGGACAAUGGGCGAAAGCCUGAUCCAGCCAUGCCGCGUGUGUGAAGAAGGCCUUCGGGUUGUAAAGCACUUUCAGUGGGGAAGAAAGCCUUGGGGCUAAUACCCUCGAGGAAGGACAUCACCCACAGAAGAAGCACCGGCUAACUCCGUGCCAGCAGCCGCGGUAAUACGGAGGGUGCGAGCGUUAAUCGGAAUUACUGGGCGUAAAGCGCGCGUAGGCGGUCUGAUAAGCCGGUUGUGAAAGCCCCGGGCUCAACCUGGGAACGGCAUCCGGAACUGUCAGGCUAGAGUGCAGGAGAGGAAGGUAGAAUUCCCGGUGUAGCGGUGAAAUGCGUAGAGAUCGGGAGGAAUACCAGUGGCGAAGGCGGCCUGCUGGACUGACACUGACGCUGAGGUGCGAAAGCGUGGGUAGCAAACAGGAUUAGAUACCCCAGUAGUC
RNAcentral lists this ribosomal RNA (464 nucleotides) under Vreelandella stevensii. RNAcentral describes it as "partial 16S ribosomal RNA". It matches the Rfam family "Bacterial small subunit ribosomal RNA", at positions 338 to 795 of the family's 1533-position model. The record is from RNAcentral. Lineage: Bacteria; Pseudomonadati; Pseudomonadota; Gammaproteobacteria; Oceanospirillales; Halomonadaceae.